GCCCUUAAGCAAAAAAAUUAGUAUGCAUCCUCUCAGGCGAUAGGUACCCACCUUCGUUUAUAAAACUUAAAUUCUCCAGGACCCUCCAGGUAAGUGCAAACUUACUUUGCAUGCCCUUUCUCGAAGAGCAAAUCCACACGAACUAGAUCUAGCUCUUCCACUAAGCUUUAAGUAGCUCUGACUCCAUCGGAACACACCAUGCUCCACAUGGCAUCUAUUGGAGACUGACUU
This 231-nucleotide long non-coding RNA is filed under the name Elaeis guineensis (African oil palm). RNAcentral describes it as "long non-coding RNA (EGUI_LNC044493)". The record is from RNAcentral. Lineage: Eukaryota; Viridiplantae; Streptophyta; Magnoliopsida; Arecales; Arecaceae.